Molecule: ribosomal RNA, 301 nt
Filed under: uncultured bacterium
Lineage: Bacteria
Description: partial 16S ribosomal RNA
Rfam family: Bacterial small subunit ribosomal RNA
Source: RNAcentral
CAGUAGCCGCGGGAAUACGUAGGUCCCGAGCGUUGUCCGGAUUUAUUGGGCGUAAAGGGAGCGCAGGCGGUUUAGUAAGUCUGAAGUUAAAGGCAUUGGCUCAACCAAUGUAUACUUUGGAAACUGUUAACUUGAGUGCAGAAGAGGAGAGUGGAAUUCCAUGUGUAGCGGUGAAAUGCGUAGAUAUAUGGAGGAACACCAGUGGCGAAGGCGACUCUCUGGUCUGUAACUGACGCUGAGGCUCGAAAGCGUGGGUAGCAAACAGGAUUAGAUACCCCUGUAGUCCCUGUCUCUUAUACAA